Molecule: ribosomal RNA, 1104 nt
Filed under: fungal sp. ARIZ AZ0241
Lineage: Eukaryota; Fungi
Description: eukaryotic LSU rRNA
Rfam family: Eukaryotic large subunit ribosomal RNA (bases 507-1104)
Source: RNAcentral
GAUCAUUAACAAGUUGGGCGAAAGCCCCCUCUGUUUGUCCUCACACCUCUGCGUACCCAACCACGUUGCUUCCGAGGGACAGCCCUCCGGGGCCCGCCUCUCUCUGGCGGAGUCGCCCUCGGGAGGUAUACCAAACUCAUGUUGUUUUGAUUUCUGUCUGAAUGUGAAACUAUAACAGUUAAAACUUUCAACAACGGAUCUCUUGGUUCUCGCAUCGAUGAAGAACGCAGCGAAAUGCGAUAAGUAGUGUGAAUUGCAGAAUUCAGUGAAUCAUCGAAUCUUUGAACGCACAUUGCGCCCUCUGGUAUUCCGGGGGGCAUGCCUGUUCGAGCGUCAUCAAACAAACCUCAAGCUCUUUUUGCUUGGUAUUGGAGGUGGACGGGACAACCGCCCCCUCUCAAAGCGAUCUGGCGGAAAGCCUUGUCGGCCCAGGCGUAGUAAUAAUCUUAUAUCGUUUAGGUCGGCUGUGGUGUUCUUGCCGUACAACCCCCAAUCAACCAAUAGUUUGACCUCGGAUCAGGUAGGGAUACCCGCUGAACUUAAGCAUAUCAAUAAGCGGAGGAAAAGAAACCAACAGGGAUUGCCUUAGUAACUGCGAGUGAAGCGGCAUCAGCUCAAAUUUGAAAUCUGGCGUCUUCGGCGUCCGAGUUGUAAUUUGGAGGGGCAUCUUCGGGGAGGACGCAGGUCUAAGUUCCUUGGAACAGGACGUCAUAGAGGGUGAGAAUCCCGUCAUUGGCUUGCUGCUCCUCUCCAUGUGAAGUGCCUCCGACGAGUCGAGUUGUUUGGGAAUGCAGCUCAAAAUGGGUGGUAAACUUCAUCUAAAGCUAAAUACUGGCGAGAGACCGAUAGCGCACAAGUAGAGUGAUCGAAAGAUGAAAAGCACUUUGAAAAGAGAGUUAAAAAGUACGUGAAAUUGUUGAAAGGGAAGCGCUUGAGACCAGACUCAGCGGGAGGUGAUCAGCGGUGCUUCUGCGCCGUGCACUCGCCUUCUGUUGGGCCAGCAUCGGUUUCGGUGGCGGGAUAAAGGCCAGGGGAACGUGGCUCCUCUCGGGGAGUGUUAUAGCCCCUGGUGCAAUGCCGCCUACCGGGACCGAGGACCGCGCU